RNAcentral lists this ribosomal RNA (253 nucleotides) under uncultured bacterium. RNAcentral's name for it is "partial 16S ribosomal RNA". It matches the Rfam family "Bacterial small subunit ribosomal RNA", at positions 524 to 776 of the family's 1533-position model. The record is from RNAcentral.
UACGGAUGGUGCGAGCGGUGUCCGGAAUCACUGGGCGUAAAGGGCGCGUAGGCGGCUCGGUAAGUAGGGGGUGAAAUCCUGCGGCUUAACCGCAGGGCUGCCUUCUAAACUGUCGAGCUCGAGCACGGUAGAGGCAGAUGGAAUUCCCGGUGUAGCGGUGGAAUGCGUAGAUAUCAGGAGGAACACCGGUGGCGAAGGCGGGUCUCUGGGCAACAACUGACGCUGAGGAGCGAAAGCGUGGGGAGCGAACAGG